UGCCAGCCGCCGCGGUAAUACGGAGGGGGUUAGCGUUGUUCGGAAUCACUGGGCGUAAAGCGCACGUAGGCUGACUGGUCAGUUGGGGGUGAAAUCCCGGGGCUCAACCUCGGAACUGCCUUCAAUACUGCCAGUCUUGAGUCCGAGAGAGGUGAGUGGAAUUCCUAGUGUAGAGGUGAAAUUCGUAGAUAUUAGGAAGAACACCAGUGGCGAAGGCGGCUCCCUGGCCAAAGACUGACGCUCAUGUGCGAAAGUGUGGGUAGCGAACAGGAUUAGAUA
RNAcentral lists this ribosomal RNA (279 nucleotides) under uncultured bacterium. RNAcentral describes it as "partial 16S ribosomal RNA". It matches the Rfam family "Bacterial small subunit ribosomal RNA", at positions 506 to 784 of the family's 1533-position model. The record is from RNAcentral.